This is a long non-coding RNA of Pantherophis guttatus, 464 nucleotides long. RefSeq lists it as uncharacterized. Lineage: Eukaryota; Metazoa; Chordata; Lepidosauria; Squamata; Colubridae. The record is from RefSeq and is a predicted model, not a curated record.
UCCAGAAGAAAGUUGCAAUUGGUGAUCAUGUGACCUCGGGAUGCUGCAAUUGCACAGGAUUCACCUAAUGAUGAUAACAGGAAUCGUUGCAACUGCCAUUAUAAGUUGAUGUGUAAAGAUAAAUGCAGAGAAUUCAAUCAAUUAUCUACAAUCUCUACAUUCUCCGUGAGGAUCCCUUUUCUUACUUUGUCAUCUAACAGCCAAACUUCAUAUAUUGCAGUUCUCCUUCCCCAAGACCCAAGCAAAUGAUCAUCCUGGAACUGGGGCAAAGCAAGUUCCAGUUUACAUCUGGAAGGUCUCUUCUACAUAUCUUUCUAGCUGUCUCAGCAUUUCCAGUUCACUUAUCUUGGUUUCAAGGGAAAGGAUUUCGUAAGAUUUGGGAGCUUUAUGAGCAAGAGUAAUCUAUGACUUAUUCUCAAAUACGUUCUGUGCAGUAAAUGGGAAAGCAUCUCCCCCUUUGCUGA